This 141-nucleotide ribosomal RNA is filed under the name Triticum aestivum (bread wheat). RNAcentral's name for it is "partial small subunit ribosomal RNA". Lineage: Eukaryota; Viridiplantae; Streptophyta; Magnoliopsida; Poales; Poaceae. The record is from RNAcentral.
UUGAAAUCGAAAAUAUUCCAAGAUGGCAAAUAUUCAGAGAUGACUAUGAAAACACCUCUCUGGAUCCUCGAAUUGAAAGAGAGAUUGAGAGGGAUCAAGAAUCCUAAUUCUCGCUAUUUGGAAUGGAUCCAAUUCUAUUGA